Molecule: ribosomal RNA, 252 nt
Filed under: uncultured bacterium
Lineage: Bacteria
Description: partial 16S ribosomal RNA
Rfam family: Bacterial small subunit ribosomal RNA
Source: RNAcentral
UACGGAGGAUGCGAGCGUUAUCCGGAUUUAUUGGGUUUAAAGGGUGCGCAGGCGGCACGGCAAGCCGGCGGUCAAAUCGCGGGGCUCAACCCCGCCCAGCCGUCGGAACUGCCGGGCUAGAGUGGGCGAGAAGUGCGCGGAAUGCGUGGUGUAGUGGUGAAAUGCAUAGAUAUCACGCAGAACUCCGAUUGCGAAGGCAGCGUACCGGCAUCCAACUGACGCUGAGGCAUGAAAGCGUGGGGAUCAAACAGG